This 481-nucleotide ribosomal RNA is filed under the name uncultured bacterium. RNAcentral's name for it is "bacterial SSU rRNA". It matches the Rfam family "Bacterial small subunit ribosomal RNA", at positions 353 to 825 of the family's 1533-position model. The record is from RNAcentral.
AGUGAGGAAUAUUGCGCAAUGGGGGAAACCCUGACGCAGCAACGCCGCGUGUGGGAAGAAGGCCUUCGGGUCGUAAACCACUUUUUGCACGGGACGAAAAAGGGAUAUCGAACAAAUAUCCCCGAUGACGGUACCGUGAGAAUAAGCCACGGCUAACUCUGUGCCAGCAGCCGCGGUAAGACAGAGGUGGCAAGCGUUGUUCGGAAUUACUGGGCGUAAAGAGUCUGUAGGUGGUUUGUCAAGUCUUUGGUGAAAGGCCGUAGCUUAACUAUGGGAAUGCCAAAGAGACUGGCAGGCUGGAGGCUGGGAGAGGGAAGCGGAAUUUCUGGUGUAGCGGUGAAAUGCGUAGAUAUCAGAAGGAAGGCCGGUGGCGAAGGCGGCUUCCUGGAACAGUCCUGACACUGAGAGACGAAAGCGUGGGGAGCAAACAGGAUUAGAUACCCUGGUAGUCCACGCCCUAAACGAUGGGUACUAAGUGUGG